Molecule: ribosomal RNA, 427 nt
Filed under: uncultured bacterium
Lineage: Bacteria
Description: bacterial SSU rRNA
Rfam family: Bacterial small subunit ribosomal RNA
Source: RNAcentral
UAGGGAAUAUUGGACAAUGGGGGCAACCCUGAUCCAGCCAUGCCGCGUGAGUGAAGAAGGCCCUCGGGUUGUAAAGCUCUUUUGUCCGGAAAGAAAAGCAUUCGGUGAAUACCCGGAUGUUCUGACGGUACCGGAAGAAUAAGCACCGGCUAACUUCGUGCCAGCAGCCGCGGUAAUACGAAGGGUGCAAGCGUUACUCGGAAUUACUGGGCGUAAAGCGUGCGUAGGUGGUUGUUUAAGUCUGAUGUGAAAGCCCUGGGCUCAACCUGGGAAUGGCAUUGGAAACUGGGCAGCUAGAGUGCGGUAGAGGGUAGUGGAAUUCCCGGUGUAGCAGUGAGAUGCGUAGAGAUCGGGAGGAACAUCUGUGGCGAAGGCGACUGCCUGGACCAGCACUGACACUGAGGCACGAAAGCGUGGGGAGCAAACA